This 301-nucleotide ribosomal RNA is filed under the name uncultured bacterium. RNAcentral describes it as "partial 16S ribosomal RNA". It matches the Rfam family "Bacterial small subunit ribosomal RNA", at positions 509 to 807 of the family's 1533-position model. The record is from RNAcentral.
CAGCAGCCACGGUAAUACGUAGGGUGCGAGCGUUAAUCGGAAUUACUGGGCGUAAAGCGUGCGCAGGCGGUUGUGUAAGACAGGUGUGAAAUCCCCGGGCUUAACCUGGGAGCUGCGCUUGUGACUGCACAGCUAGAGUAUGGCAGAGGGGGGUGGAAUUCCACGUGUAGCAGUGAAAUGCGUAGAGAUGUGGAGGAACACCGAUGGCGAAGGCAGCCCCCUGGGCCAAUACUGACGCUCAUGCACGAAAGCGUGGGGAGCAAACAGGAUUAGAUACCCCUGUAGUCCCUGUCUCUUAUAC